AGAAACUUAGGAUAAUCCUUUAAACCGAAGGCCUUCAAAGCCUUAGACAAGAGUUAGACCCUCUUAGUUUCUG
Molecule: transfer RNA, 73 nt
Filed under: Aethia cristatella
Lineage: Eukaryota; Metazoa; Chordata; Aves; Charadriiformes; Alcidae
Description: tRNA-Trp
Rfam family: tRNA
About the family: Transfer RNA (tRNA) molecules are approximately 80 nucleotides in length.
Source: RNAcentral